UUUGAGCUUCCCAACAUGGCACAGUCGGUUAAUAUCACCGAGCUGAAUUUGCCGCAGCUAGAAAUGCUCAAGAACCAGCUGGACCAGGAAGUGGAGUUCUUGUCCACGUCCAUUGCCCAGCUCAAGGUGGUUCAGACCAAGUAUGUGGAAGCCAAGGACUGUCUGAACGUGUUGAAGAAAAACAACGAGGGGAAAGAAUUACUUGUACCACUGACGAGUUCUAUGUAUGUCCCCGGGAAGCUACAUGAUGUGGAACAUGUGCCUAUCGAUGUGGGAACUGGCUACUAUGUAGAGAAGACAGCUGAGGAUGCCAAGGACUUCUUCAAGAGGAAGAUAGACUUCCUUACCAAGCAAAUGGAAAAAAAUCCAGCCAGCUCUGCAGGAGAAGCACGCCAUGAAACAGGCUGUCAUGGAGAUGAUGAGCCAGAAGAUUCAGCAGCUCACAACCCUGGGAGCAGCUCAGGCUACCACCAGGCCUGAGAGCUUGUUUCAGGAAUGGGGCAGAGGGUGCCUGCUUCUGGGCCCUGGGACUUUGUGGACGUGGUUUCCUGGAAUGGGGGAAGAAGAGGGUCUGUGUUUAAUGCUAAUAAAUGAGCCAGCUGGGGGAAAAAAAAAAAAGAUAUUUGAAAGAAGUGAAAACAGCCCCCACACAGACACCCUCUCAGCCCCCAGGCUCCUCAGCCAUGUAGUCACCACUUCUGGAGCAUCCCUGUUAGCAGUUCUUGUGCGUCCUCAUCCAAAGCAUUCUGAGUUUAAAGGGCAGGAGUGUGCAAAGGUGAUCAAGGGCUGGAAGAAUAUGCUUCUGUAUCUUCCUUCAUCACAUCUGUAUCCUCUGGUGAGGCCAUUCAAGUAACUGGGAUGCAAUAUUCCAAAUGAAACGGAAUCUCGGCCUACUAAAGUCCAUAGUGGAUGUAUCUCAAGGCAACGUCAAAACUCCCACCACCGAAACCACUGCAAGGGAU
Molecule: RNA transcript, 962 nt
Organism: Cervus elaphus (red deer)
Lineage: Eukaryota; Metazoa; Chordata; Mammalia; Artiodactyla; Cervidae
Gene name: prefoldin subunit 5-like
Exons: 1
Source: RefSeq, a predicted model, not a curated record